AAAAAUGAGGAAAUUAUUGGUAACCAAUUUAUUUUAAAAGCCCAUCAAUUUAAUUUCUGGUGGUGCAGAAGUUAGAAGGUAAAGCUUGAGAAGAUGAGGGUGUUUACGUAGACCAGAACCAAUUUAGAAGAAUACUUGAAGCUAGAAGGGGAAGUUGGUUAAAAAUCACAUCAAAAAGCUACUAAAAGGACUGGUGUAAUUUAAAAAAAACUAAGGCAGAAGGCUUUUGGAAGAGUUAGAAGAAUUUGGAAGGCCUUAAAUAUAGUAGCUUAGUUUGAAAAAUGUGAAGGACUUUCGUAACGGAAGUAAUUCAAGAUCAAGAGUAAUUACCAACUUAAUGUUUUUGCAUUGGACUUUGAGUUAAGAUUAUUUUUUAAAUCCUGAGGACUAGCAUUAAUUGACAGCUGACCCAGGUGCUACACAGAAGUGGAUUCAGUGAAUCUAGGAAGACAGCAGCAGACAGGAUUCCAGGAACCAGUGUUUGAUGAAGCUAGGACUGAGGAGCAAGCGAGCAAGCAGCAGUUCGUGGUGAAGAUAGGAAAAGAGUCCAGGAGCCAGUGCGAUUUGGUGAAGGAAGCUAGGAAGAAGGAAGGAGCGCUAACGAUUUGGUGGUGAAGCUAGGAAAAAGGAUUCCAGGAAGGAGCGAGUGCAAUUUGGUGAUGAAGGUAGCAGGCGGCUUGGCUUGGCAACCACACGGAGGAGGCGAGCAGGCGUUGUGCGUAGAGGAUCCUAGACCAGCAUGCCAGUGUGCCAAGGCCACAGGGAAAGCGAGUGGUUGGUAAAAAUCCGUGAGAGGCAUUUCAUCCUUCAUGAAGCCAUUCAGGAUUUUGAAUUGCAUAUGAGUGCUUGGCUCUUCCUUCUGUUCUAACUUCACAGAGAAUGCAGUUGUCUUGACUUCAGGUCUGUCUGUUCUGUUGGCAAGUAAAUGCAGUACUGUUCUGAUCCCGCUGCUAUUAGAAUGCAUUGUGAAACGACUGGAGUAUGAUUAAAAGUUGUGUUCCCCAAUGCUUGGAGUAGUGAUUGUUGAAGGAAAAAAUCCAGCUGAGUGAUAAAGGCUGAGUGUUGAGGAAAUUUCUGCAGUUUUAAGCAGUCGUAUUUGUGAUUGAAGCUGAGUACAUUUUGCUGGUGUAUUUUUAGGUAAAAUGCUUUUUGUUCAUUUCUGGUGGUGGGAGGGGACUGAAGCCUUUAGUCUUUUCCAGAUGCAACCUUAAAAUCAGUGACAAGAAACAUUCCAAACAAGCAACAGUCUUCAAGAAAUUAAACUGGCAAGUGGAAAUGUUUAAACAGUUCAGUGAUCUUUAGUGCAUUGUUUAUGUGUGGGUUUCUCUCUCCCCUCCCUUGGUCUUAAUUCUUACAUGCAGGAACACUCAGCAGACACACGUAUGCGAAGGGCCAGAGAAGCCAGACCCAGUAAGAAAAAAUAGCCUAUUUACUUUAAAUAAACCAAACAUUCCAUUUUAAAUGUGGGGAUUGGGAACCACUAGUUCUUUCAGAUGGUAUUCUUCAGACUAUAGAAGGAGCUUCCAGUUGAAUUCACCAGUGGACAAAAUGAGGAAAACAGGUGAACAAGCUUUUUCUGUAUUUACAUACAAAGUCAGAUCAGUUAUGGGACAAUAGUAUUGAAUAGAUUUCAGCUUUAUGCUGGAGUAACUGGCAUGUGAGCAAACUGUGUUGGCGUGGGGGUGGAGGGGUGAGGUGGGCGCUAAGCCUUUUUUUAAGAUUUUUCAGGUACCCCUCACUAAAGGCACCGAAGGCUUAAAGUAGGACAACCAUGGAGCCUUCCUGUGGCAGGAGAGACAACAAAGCGCUAUUAUCCUAAGGUCAAGAGAAGUGUCAGCCUCACCUGAUUUUUAUUAGUAAUGAGGACUUGCCUCAACUCCCUCUUUCUGGAGUGAAGCAUCCGAAGGAAUGCUUGAAGUACCCCUGGGCUUCUCUUAACAUUUAAGCAAGCUGUUUUUAUAGCAGCUCUUAAUAAUAAAGCCCAAAUCUCAAGC
Molecule: long non-coding RNA, 1994 nt
Filed under: Homo sapiens (human)
Lineage: Eukaryota; Metazoa; Chordata; Mammalia; Primates; Hominidae
Description: metastasis associated lung adenocarcinoma transcript 1
Source: RNAcentral